RNAcentral lists this long non-coding RNA (1139 nucleotides) under Danio rerio (zebrafish). Its description in RNAcentral is "si:dkey-94l16.6 (ENSDARG00000096727.2)". The record is from RNAcentral. Lineage: Eukaryota; Metazoa; Chordata; Actinopteri; Cypriniformes; Danionidae.
AAAAGGUUGUUCCGUUUAUUACUGUGACCAAACAGUCUAUUUACAAAUCACGGAGACUAUUUGCGCAUUUUAUUAGCAUUAAGCAACAUUAAUAAUUAAUUUAAUAAUGUAACUAGAGUGCUUAUUUAUUACAUUUUUAAUUAAAACACGUUUUAUAUACAUAUAUUAAUAAAUCAAAGAGUCGCAAUUUUAUCGUUAACAAUGUAUGCCCUUUUUCAGACACUAGCCAAUCAUGAUGUAGCUCCUAAACUUAAAUCUCAUUGGACAGUGGAAGUGGCGCGGUAAAUUGGCGGGCUUGUUUGUUUGUGAGUAGUUUGAGAGCUACGCAAAUGCUCUAUAUAUUCUCCAGUGACUUUUUUAAGCGUAAGAGGGAAUCGCUAACAGAAACACGACGAAUGUCUGUACACACACGCUUCAGUGAAGAUCUGAUUUUGCUCAAUUUACAGUAGAAUUUCGUCAUUUUACUCUUUUGGAUGUGGAUGAAAACACUCUGAGACCAUGACGCACCGGAAGUGCUAUUAAAGCUGUUCGGCCAUGGCUCCGUCCCUCACGCCGGCCGACACCACAGAGAAGAAGCAUCCGGGCAUCAGAGCGCGGAUGUAGAGGGCCACGGUGGGCACGGGGUGGGCCAGAAACACCUCUCGGCUCUGUCUGUUCACCGAACGCACGAUCUCCUGCGCCAGGAUCUGCGGACUCACCCCGUGUGUGUUCAGCUUACUGCAGACGUCUGAAACAACAGCUCAGGUCAGGAGACACACGCAGCACUACCAAUGAACACUUCACUAGUCAAGGUGUGUGCGUGGUCCUCAGUGACUCACAGGCCCAAAUUGGGUUGGUGGGUGUGGCUUUAGUGGGUGUGGCAGUUAUGGGAGUGGCUUCAGUGGGCGUGGCGUUCUCAGCUCCAGCAUUGAUGAAGGUGUGGCUGAUGGUGCUGACGGAGAUGCCGAACUCCUCCACCUCCGCCCGCAGACAGUCAAAAAACGCCUGCACUGCAUGCUUGGACGCCGCGUCUGAAAACACAACCAGCAGUGCUCAGUCUACUACAACACAUGCUCUAUUUACUUAACCCCUGUGUGUGGUUAGAUUGGCUCUCCUUUGGUGAUGUUGGUGCUGUUUUUACCACAUUGACUUCCAUCAUA